This 200-nucleotide unclassified non-coding RNA is filed under the name soil metagenome. RNAcentral's name for it is "partial contains internal transcribed spacer 2 and large subunit ribosomal RNA". The record is from RNAcentral.
ACGUUUGCCGGUCGCAAGAUCUGGCUCGUUCGUAAUAUAUUAGCAUCUCUAAUUCGGAAUUCGGAUUGACUCAGUGUAAUAGACUAUUCGCUGAGGACACUUGUAAAAGUGGCCGAAAUUUGAUAACAUAGAAGCUUCCAACUUUUGUAGUCAAUUUUAAUUUAGACCUCAGAUCAGGCAGGAUUACCCGCUGAACUUAA